RNAcentral lists this ribosomal RNA (253 nucleotides) under uncultured bacterium. Its description in RNAcentral is "partial 16S ribosomal RNA". It matches the Rfam family "Bacterial small subunit ribosomal RNA", at positions 524 to 776 of the family's 1533-position model. The record is from RNAcentral.
UACAGAGGGUGCAAGCGUUGUCCGGAAUCACUGGGCGUAAAGGGCGCGUAGGCGGCUUGGUAAGUAGGGGGUGAAAUCUCACGGCUCAACUGUGAGGCUGCCUUCUAGACUGCCGAGCUUGAGCACAGUAGAGGCUGGUGGAAUUCCCGGUGUAGCGGUGGAAUGCGUAGAGAUCGGGAAGAACAUCUGUGGCGAAGGCGGCCAGCUGGGCUGUUGCUGACGCUGAUGCGCGAAAGCGUGGGGAGCGAACAGG